GACGAACGCUGGCGGCGUGCUUAACACAUGCCAGUCGAACGGAAAGGCCCUGCUUUUGUGGGGUGCUCGAGUGGCGAACGGGUGAGUAGCACGUGAGUAACCUGCCCUUGACUUUGGGAUAACUUCAGGAAACUGGGGCUAAUACCGGAUAGGAGCUCCUGCUGCAUGGUGGGGGUUGGAAAGUUUCGGCGGUUGGGGAUGGACUCGCGGCUUAUCAGCUUGUUGGUGGGGUAGUGGCUUACCAAGGCUUUGACGGGUAGCCGGCCUGAGAGGGUGACCGGCCACAUUGGGACUGAGAUACGGCCCAGACUCCUACGGGAGGCAGCAGUGGGGAAUAUUGAACAAUGGGCGGAAGCCUGAUGCAGCAACGCCGCGUGCGGGAUGACGGCCUUCGGGUUGUAAACCGCUUUCGCCUGUGACGAAGCGUGAGUGACGGUAAUGGGUAAAGAAGCACCGGCUAACUACGUG
This 468-nucleotide ribosomal RNA is filed under the name uncultured bacterium. Its description in RNAcentral is "partial 16S ribosomal RNA". It matches the Rfam family "Bacterial small subunit ribosomal RNA", at positions 28 to 507 of the family's 1533-position model. The record is from RNAcentral.